AUUGAACGCUGGCGGCAUGCCUUACACAUGCAAGUCGAACGGCAGCACGGGAGCAAUCCUGGUGGCGAGUGGCGAACGGGUGAGUAAUAUAUCGGAACGUGCCCAGUCGUGGGGGAUAACGUAGCGAAAGCUACGCUAAUACCGCAUACGAUCUAUGGAUGAAAGCGGGGGAUCGCAAGACCUCGCGCGAUUGGAGCGGCCGAUAUCAGAUUAGGUAGUUGGUGAGGUAAAGGCUCACCAAGCCGACGAUCUGUAGCUGGUCUGAGAGGACGACCAGCCACGCUGGGACGGAGACACGGCCCAGACUCCUACGGGAGGCAGCAGUGGGGAAUUUUGGACAAUGGGCGCAAGCCUGAUCCAGCAAUGCCGCGUGCAGGACGAAGGCCUUCGGGUUGUAAACUGCUUUUGUACGGAACGAAACGGCGAGCUCUAAUACAGUUUGCUAAUGACGGUACCGUAAGAAUAAGCACCGGCUAACUACGUGCCAGCAGCCGCCGUAA
RNAcentral lists this ribosomal RNA (500 nucleotides) under uncultured bacterium. Its description in RNAcentral is "partial 16S ribosomal RNA". It matches the Rfam family "Bacterial small subunit ribosomal RNA", at positions 30 to 523 of the family's 1533-position model. The record is from RNAcentral.